RNAcentral lists this ribosomal RNA (301 nucleotides) under uncultured bacterium. RNAcentral's name for it is "partial 16S ribosomal RNA". It matches the Rfam family "Bacterial small subunit ribosomal RNA", at positions 509 to 807 of the family's 1533-position model. The record is from RNAcentral.
CAGCAGCCGCGGGAAUACGAAGGGUGCAAGCGUUAAUAGGAAUUACUGGGCGUAAAGCGUGCGUAGGCGGUGAGUUAAGUCUGCUGUGAAAUCCCCGGGCUCAACCUGGGAAUGGCAGUGGAUACUGGCUCGCUAGAGUGUGUCAGAGGAUGGUGGAAUUCCCGGUGUAGCGGUGAAAUGCGUAGAGAUCGGGAGGAACAUCAGUGGCGAAGGCGGCCAUCUGGGACAACACUGACGCUGAGGCACGAAAGCGUGGGGAGCAAACAGGAUUAGAUACCCGCGUAGUCCCUGUCUCUUAUAC